This 218-nucleotide ribosomal RNA is filed under the name uncultured bacterium. RNAcentral's name for it is "partial 16S ribosomal RNA". It matches the Rfam family "Bacterial small subunit ribosomal RNA", at positions 524 to 748 of the family's 1533-position model. The record is from RNAcentral.
AACGGGAGGAGCAAGUGUUAUUCGGAAUGACUGGGUGUUAAGCGUAUGAUAAUGGUGCAAGUGUAAACGUAGAAAAGUGCAUCUCGGUAGUUAUUCACUUUUAUCUGCACUAGAGUACAAGAGAGGACAGUAGAACUUCUAGAGGAGCAAUCAAAUGCCUUGAUACUGGAAAGAAUGCCAAAAGCGCAGGCAGCUGUCUGGAUUGUGUACUGACGUUU